This 657-nucleotide ribosomal RNA is filed under the name Triticum aestivum (bread wheat). RNAcentral describes it as "partial small subunit ribosomal RNA". The record is from RNAcentral. Lineage: Eukaryota; Viridiplantae; Streptophyta; Magnoliopsida; Poales; Poaceae.
GGUGCCUCUGACAUCCGCCAGUUCCGGCCUAUCACUGUGAUCAAUGUGAUAUUCCGGAUCUUGGCCAAAGGGUACGCCAAUAGGGUGACCCUUUUAGCUGACACCAUCACUCACCCCAACCAAUCCGCCUUCAUUCAAGGGCGGUUUAUUCUGGAUGGAGUUUUGGUUUUCCACGAGGUCCUUCAUGAAGUCCGGUCCAAGCACCACCGAGCUGUCUUCCUGAAGCUUGACUUCCAUAAGGCCUACGAUACGGUGCCCUGGCCCUUCCUUCGGGAAGUCUUACUCCGCAAGGGUUUCGACGACCGGUGGGUGACCAGAGUUAUGCAACUCGUCUCUUGCGGCCAGACCGCGGUUAGCAUUAAUAGUGAGGUUGGGCCAUUCUUCCCCACUCUUUGUGGGGUUCGCCAGGGCGACCCGUUCUCCCCGUUUCUGUUUAACAUGGUGGUCGAUGCCCUUGCGGUCAUCCUGGAUAAGGCCAAAUCUGCUGGCCAUAUCCACAACAUUGUUCCUCACCUAGUAGGAGGGGGAGGGAUCUCCCUCCUACAAUAUGCAGACGACACCAUAAUAAUGGUGGAGGGCUCCGCGACCGACAUAGCCAACCUGAAGUUUCUCCUCCUAUGCUUCCAACAGAUGUCCGGGUUCAGUAUCAACUUCUAA